This 474-nucleotide ribosomal RNA is filed under the name uncultured bacterium. RNAcentral describes it as "bacterial SSU rRNA". It matches the Rfam family "Bacterial small subunit ribosomal RNA", at positions 328 to 793 of the family's 1533-position model. The record is from RNAcentral.
CGCUAUCACUCCUACGGGGAGGCAGCAGUGGGGAAUAUUGCACAAUGGGGGAAACCCUGAUGCAGCCAUGCCGCGUGUGUGAAGAAGGCCUUCGGGUUGUAAAGCACUUUCAGUAGGGAGGAAGGUAGUGUAGUUAACACCUGCACAUUUGACGUUACCUACAGAAGAAGCACCGGCUAACUCCGUGCCAGCAGCCGCGGUAAUACGGAGGGUGCGAGCGUUAAUCGGAAUUACUGGGCGUAAAGCGCAUGCAGGCGGCCUGUUAAGUCAGAUGUGAAAGCCCGGGGCUUAACCUCGGAAUUGCAUUUGAAACUGGCAGGCUAGAGUCUUGUAGAGGGGGGUAGGAAUUUCAGGUGUAGCGGUGAAAUGCGUAGAGAUCUGAAGGAAUACCAGUGGCGAAGGCGGCCCCCUGGACAAAGACUGACGCUCAGAUGCGAAAGCGUGGGGAGCAAACAGGAUUAGAUACCCUGGUAG